CUACGGGCCGCACCAGUGGGGAAUAUUGCACAAUGGGGGAAACCCUGAUGCAACGAUGCCGCGUGAACGAAGAAGGCUUUCGAGUCGUAAAGUUCUGUUCUUAGGGAAGAAAAUGACGGUACCUAAGGAGAAAGCACCGGCUAAAUACGUGCCAGCAGCCGCGGUAAUACGUAUGGUGCAAGCGUUGUCCGGAAUUACUGGGCGUAAAGAGUUCGUAGGCAGUCAAAUAAGUCAGGAGUGAAAGGCUACGGCUCAACCGUAGUGAGCUUUUGAAACUGUUUGACUUGAGUACUGGAGAGGAAAGUGGAAUUCCUAGUGUAGCGGUGAAAUGCGUAGAUAUUAGGAGGAACACCAGUGGCGAAGGCGGCUUUCUGGACAGUAACUGACGCUGAGGAACGAAAGCGUGGGGAGCAAACAGGAUUAGAUACCCCUGUAGUC
This 438-nucleotide ribosomal RNA is filed under the name uncultured bacterium. RNAcentral describes it as "partial 16S ribosomal RNA". It matches the Rfam family "Bacterial small subunit ribosomal RNA", at positions 339 to 795 of the family's 1533-position model. The record is from RNAcentral.